CCCUUGUGGAGGAGGACGCCGAAGGUGGGGCUAAUGACUGGGGUGAAGUCGUAACAAGGUAGCCGUACCGGAAGGUGCGGCUGGAUCACCUCCUAACAGGGAGACAACAAAAUGUUAAAUAUUAAUUUUGUCACCUUAGGUCGAUCGGUACCUCACAUUCUUAAUUUAUUAAGGAUUUUAUUUCCUAAGUUUUUCUAGGUCACACCCAUUAUUUUUCCUGGGCCAUUAGCUCAGGUGGUUAGAGCGCACCCCUGAUAAGGGUGAGGUCCCUGGUUCAAGUCCAGGAUGGCCCAUAUCUCUAUGUUGGGGGUAUAGCUCAGUUGGUAGAGCGCCUGCUUUGCAAGCAGGAUGUCAGCGGUUCGAGUCCGCUUACCUCCACUGAUUACCACCUCUUCCAUAAUUUUAUAGAAAGGAAAUUUUUUGAGUUGUGAUCAAAUUCUGAACGAUUCUAGCUUCCUAAUUAGAUUAUUAAGAUGCUGGACUCAUUGAAUUAAUUUCAUUGUUUUCAGAGAACCUUGACAACUGCAUAGAUUAUUUUUAAAGACAAUAAGCAUCUUUUAAUGAUGCAGAUUUAUUAUUUUUGCGAAUGCAUAAAUAACAAUUCUAUUAAGCUGAUGCUUCAAAUUUUUUGAAGUUAUUGGUCAAGCUACAAAGGGCUCACGGAGGAUACCUAGGCACACAGA
Molecule: unclassified non-coding RNA, 683 nt
Filed under: uncultured Prochlorococcus sp.
Lineage: Bacteria; Bacillati; Cyanobacteriota; Cyanophyceae; Synechococcales; Prochlorococcaceae
Description: partial may contain 16S ribosomal RNA, 16S-23S ribosomal RNA intergenic spacer, and 23S ribosomal RNA
Rfam family: Bacterial small subunit ribosomal RNA (bases 1-96)
Source: RNAcentral